This 587-nucleotide ribosomal RNA is filed under the name uncultured bacterium. RNAcentral describes it as "bacterial SSU rRNA". It matches the Rfam family "Bacterial small subunit ribosomal RNA", at positions 338 to 916 of the family's 1533-position model. The record is from RNAcentral.
CCUACGGGAGGCAGCAGUGGGGAAUAUUGCACAAUGGGCGCAAGCCUGAUGCAGCGACGCCGCGUGAGGGAUGGAGGCCUUCGGGUUGUGAACCUCUUUCGCCAGUGAAGCAGGCCUGCCUCGUUUGUGGGUGGGUUGACGGUAGCUGGAUAAGAAGCGCCGGCUAACUACGUGCCAGCAGCCGCGGUAAUACGUAGGGCGCGAGCGUUGUCCGGAAUUAUUGGGCGUAAAGAGCUCGUAGGCGGCUGGUCGCGUCUGUCGUGAAAUCCUCUGGCUUAACUGGGGGCUUGCGGUGGGUACGGGCCGGCUUGAGUGCGGUAGGGGAGACUGGAACUCCUGGUGUAGCGGUGGAAUGCGCAGAUAUCAGGAAGAACACCGGUGGCGAAGGCGGGUCUCUGGGCCGUUACUGACGCUGAGGAGCGAAAGCGUGGGGAGCGAACAGGAUUAGAUACCCUGGUAGUCCACGCCGUAAACGUUGGGCACUAGGUGUGGGGGGCCUUUUCCGGGUCUUCCGCACCGUAGCUAACGCAUUAAGUGCCCCGCCUGGGGAGUACGGCCGCAAGGCUAAAACUCAAAGGAAUUGACGG